This 520-nucleotide ribosomal RNA is filed under the name uncultured Glomus. RNAcentral describes it as "SSU rRNA". It matches the Rfam family "Eukaryotic small subunit ribosomal RNA", at positions 569 to 1091 of the family's 1831-position model. Lineage: Eukaryota; Fungi; Glomeromycota; Glomeromycetes; Glomerales; Glomeraceae. The record is from RNAcentral.
GGCAGCCGCGGUAAUUCCAGCUCCAAUAGCGUAUAUUAAAGUUGCUGCAGUUAAAAAGCUCGUAGUUGAAUUUCGGGACCAUCAUGUCGGUCGUGCCUCGGUACGUACUGGUAUUGUUGGUUUCUCCCUUCUGACGAACCAUGAUGUCAUUUAUUUGGUGUUGUGGGGAAUCAGGACUGUUACUUUGAAAAAAUUAGAGUGUUUAAAGCAGGCUCACGCUUGAAUACAUUAGCAUGGAAUAAUGAAAUAGGACGUUUGAUUCUAUUUUGUUGGUUUCUAGGAUCGACGUAAUGAUUAAUAGGGAUAGUUGGGGGCAUUAGUAUUCAAUUGUCAGAGGUGAAAUUCUUGGAUUUAUUGAAGACUAACUACUGCGAAAGCAUUUGCCAAGGAUGUUUUCAUUAAUCAAGAACGAAAGUUAGGGGAUCGAAGACGAUCAGAUACCGUCGUAGUCUUAACCAUAAACUAUAGCCGACUAGGGAUCGGAUGAUGUUAAUUUUUAAUGACUCAUUCGGCGCCUUAA